This 402-nucleotide unclassified non-coding RNA is filed under the name soil metagenome. RNAcentral describes it as "partial contains 5.8S ribosomal RNA, internal transcribed spacer 2, and large subunit ribosomal RNA". The stretch from base 1 to 120 matches the Rfam family "5.8S ribosomal RNA", at positions 35 to 154 of the family's 154-position model. The record is from RNAcentral.
GAUGAAGAACGCAGCGAAAUGCGAUAAGUAAUGUGAAUUGCAGAAUUCAGUGAAUCAUCGAAUCUUUGAACGCACCUUGCGCUCCUUGGUAUUCCGAGGAGCAUGCCUGUUUGAGUGUCAUGAAAACCCUCAACCUUAGAUUGGUUAAAACCUUUCUUUGGCUUGGAUUUGGACGUUUGCCGAUGAUAAGUCGGCUCGUCUUAAAAGUAAUAGCUGGAUCUGUCUCGCGACAUGGUUUGACUUGGCGUAAUAAGUAUUUCGCUAAGGACAUCUUCGGAUGGCGGCGUUGCAAGACUAAAGACCGCUUUCUAAUCCAUUGAUCUUCGGAUUAAUAUUCUUGACAUCUGGCCUCAAAUCAGGUAGGACUACCCGCUGAACUUAAGCAUAUCAAUAAGCGGAGGA